CUACGGGCGGCAGCAGUCGAGAGGCUUCGUCAAUGGGGGCAACCCUGAACGAGCGACGCCGCGUGAGCGAUGAAGGUCGUAAGAUCGUAAAGCUCUGUUAGUGGGGAAGAAACCCCGGGGUGCUAAUACCACCACGGCUUGACGUUACCCACAAAGAAAGCUCCGGCUAACUCCGUGCCAGCAGCCGCGGUAACACGGGGGGAGCAAACGUUGUUCGGAAUCACUGGGCGUAAAGGGCGCGUAGGCGGCCUGGUCAGUGAAACGUGAAAGCCCCUGGCUCAACCAGGGAAUGUCGUUUCAUACUGCCAGGCUUGAGGACGGGAGAGGAGAGGGGAAUUCCCGGUGUAGCGGUGAAAUGCACUGAUAUCGGGAGGAACACCAGUGGCGAAGGCGCCUCUCUGGCCCGUUCCUGACGCUCAGGCGCGAAAGCAGGGGGAGCAAACAGGAUUAGAUACCCUUGUAGUC
RNAcentral lists this ribosomal RNA (465 nucleotides) under uncultured bacterium. RNAcentral describes it as "partial 16S ribosomal RNA". It matches the Rfam family "Bacterial small subunit ribosomal RNA", at positions 339 to 795 of the family's 1533-position model. The record is from RNAcentral.